This 501-nucleotide ribosomal RNA is filed under the name uncultured bacterium. RNAcentral's name for it is "partial 16S ribosomal RNA". It matches the Rfam family "Bacterial small subunit ribosomal RNA", at positions 30 to 523 of the family's 1533-position model. The record is from RNAcentral.
AUUGAACGCUGGCGGCAGGCUUAACACAUGCAAGUCGAGCGGGGGAAGGUAGCUUGCUACCGGACCUAGCGGCGGACGGGUGAGUAAUGCUUAGGAAUCUGCCUAUUAGUGGGGGACAACAUCUCGAAAGGGAUGCUAAUACCGCAUACGUCCUACGGGAGAAAGCAGGGGAUCUUCGGACCUUGCGCUAAUAGAUGAGCCUAAGUAGGAUUAGCUAGUUGGGGGGGUAAAGGCCUACCAAGGCGACGAUCUGUAGCGGGGCGGAGAGGAUGAUCCGCCACACUGGGACUGAGGCACGGCCCAGACUCCUACGGGAGGCAGCAGUGGGGAAUAUUGGACAAUGGGGGGAACCCUGAUCCAGCCAUGCCGCGUGUGUGAAGAAGGCCUUAUGGUUGUAAAGCACUUUAAGCGAGGAGGAGGCUACUCUAGUUAAUACCUAGGGAUAGUGGACGUUACUCGCAGAAUAAGCACCAGCUAACUCUGUGCCAGCAGCCGCCGUAA